Long non-coding RNA from Apis cerana (Asiatic honeybee), 1358 nucleotides. RefSeq lists it as uncharacterized. The record is from RefSeq and is a predicted model, not a curated record. Lineage: Eukaryota; Metazoa; Arthropoda; Insecta; Hymenoptera; Apidae.
GAAAAAUAAUAGAUGAUUAUGUUACUUGGUUCUUUUAUAUAUAUAUAUAUAUAUUUGAUAAAUUCUGGCCAUGCAUGUGAUAGAACGAUAACUAAAAACGACGUAGAAAACGCGAAUGAAAACGAUAAUAACGAUAAUACCUGUGCAAGAAGCGGCGUCUCUGUGCUGUCAGCGAUUUGGUAGAGCCGGCAAUUUGCGUUUGCUCUGAAGAAUACGUGCCCAAACGAAAAAAGAUAAAGAAGACAACGUAAAUCGUCACUAUAAUAGAUAGACGUCAAAAGACUGGCGCAAAGAGAAACAGAAAAAUCAUAAGCAACCCGCUCGAUCAAUAAAACACCCAAGUAAAUGUACAGAACUGACAUCGAGACAUGCACGGAGGCUUUUUUGGCGUUUGAGGUUAUAUUUACACGGAUACAUUGCGAUGUGAAUAUUUUGCAAACUGUUUGCCACCCAUAAUCAUUUUUCUUUAUAUUUUUUCGUAUAUAUUUCUUCAUUUGAAUUAUACGAACAAAAUAUAAUCUUCAUGGCGAACAAUUUGCAAUAGCCGACGAUCCUUGAAAGUUAACCUGAAACCGAGUAAAUGAAUUGAAGAAUGUACGUACAUGAAUGAAUUGAAAACUGACCUGUCGAGGCUUGACCGGUGGUGGUGGUCGAGUGGAGGACGCGAGAGCUGCGGGUGGUGCCGUAGUUGGGGGCUGUUGAUGAAGUGAGUGUUGAGGCUGCCAAGGCAGCCCUGUGCGCCCCAAUGUUCCCUGCAACUGCUGCUGUACCUGUUGCUGUACCUGUUGCUGUACUUGCUGUUGCUGCUGCUGCUGCUGCAGUUGCUGCUGACUGUUGUUGUGCUCGACUACUGGCGUAACUCGAGGAAGCGCUGAAGCGACUGAAGAAAUCUUCCGAACUGUCUGUGAAAUAAGCGACUGAUUAUUCGGCUCUUAUUUUUAUGGUUCUUUUAUCAGGCCAAAUUUUAUUUCGAUUAUUAUAAUUUAAAAUAAAUUUUCGUUAUAUAUAAUUAUUUUAUAAAUUUAAUUACAAUAGUUUAAAAAAGCCUGAUAAAAUAAUUAUUUUACGUGUAUAUAUAUAUAUAUAUAUAUAAAUAUUAAUUAUGAGUUAAUUAUUAGAAAUGACAACAUUACCUGACUUAACAGGCCAAAUCUCAAGAAGAUAUUUGAGAACUGCUAUUGGUUGUUGGAAAUCCAGAGGUGGCCCAUUUUCUUCUGAAUGUAGCAUUAACACUGGUCCAAAACAAACUGCCAAACUUGCUGGAGACAUUUUAUUGCAUUGGGAUACUACCAUUGCCAAAUGGUCGAGCAAAUAUAUUAAUGUACACUGUUAAAUAAAUAAUUAAUUAGUAUCCUCAA